AGAGUUUGAUCAUGGCUCAGGAUGAACGCUGGCGGCGUGCCUAACACAUGCAAGUCGAGCGAGAAACCUGCAAUUGAAACUUCGGUAGAUUUUGCGGGCGGAAAGCGGCGGACGGGUGAGUAACGCGUAGGCAACCUGCCCUUUGCAGAGGGAUAGCAACGGGAAACUGUUAUUAAAACCUCAUAAUACCGACAUGUCAAAUGACAAGACGGUCAAAGAUUUAUCGGCAAAGGAUGGGCCUGCGUCUGAUUAGUUAGUUGGUAGGGUAACGGCCUACCAAGGCAGCGAUCAGUAGCCGACCUGAGAGGGUGAUCGGCCACAUUGGAACUGAGACACGGUCCAAACUCCUACGGGAGGCAGCAGUGGGGAAUAUUGCACAAUGGGCGAAAGCCUGAUGCAGCAACGCCGCGUGAAGGAUGAAGGCCUUUGGGUCGUAAACUUCUGUCCUUGGGGAAGAAAAAAAUGACGGUACCCCUGGAGGAAGUCCCGGCUAACUACGUGCCAGCAGCCGCGGUAAUACGUAGGGGGCGAGCGUUAUCCGGAAUUAUUGGGCGUAAAGAGUACGUAGGUGGUUUUUUAAGCGCAGGGUUUAAGGCGAUGGCUCAACUGUCGUUCGCCCUGUGAACUGGAAGACUUGAGUACAGGAGAGGAAAGCGGAAUUCCUAGUGUAGCGGUGAAAUGCAUAGAUAUUAGGAGGAACACCAGUGGCGAAGGCGGCUUUCUGGACUGUAACUGACACUGAGGUACGAAAGCGUGGGGAGCAAACAGGAUUAGAUACCCUGGUAGUCCACGCUGUAAACGAUGAGCACUAGGUGUCGGGGUCGCAAGAUCACGGUGCCGCAGUUAACGCAUUAAGUGCUCCGCCUGGGGAGUACGCACGCAAGUGUGAAACUCAAAGGAAUUGAC
Molecule: ribosomal RNA, 906 nt
Filed under: uncultured bacterium
Lineage: Bacteria
Description: bacterial SSU rRNA
Rfam family: Bacterial small subunit ribosomal RNA
Source: RNAcentral